GACCUCGGAUCAGGUAGGGAUACCCGCUGAACUUAAGCAUAUCAAUAAGCGGAGGGAAAGAAACCAACAGGGAUUGCCUCAGUAACGGCGAGUGAAGCGGCAACAGCUCAAAUUUGAAAUCUGGCUCUUUCAGGGUCCGAGUUGUAAUUUGUAGAAGAUGCUUUGGGUGUGGCUCCGGUCUAAGUUCCUUGGAACAGGACGUCAUAGAGGGUGAGAAUCCCGUAUGUGACUGGUUGCCUUCGCCCGUGUAAAGCUCUUUCGACGAGUCGAGUUGUUUGGGAAUGCAGCUCAAAAUGGGUGGUAAAUUUCAUCUAAAGCUAGAUAUUGGCCAGAGACCGAUAGCGCACAAGUAGAGUGAUCGAAAGAUGAAAAGCACUUUGGAAAGAGAGUUAAACAGUACGUGAAAUUGUUGAAAGGGAAGCGC
RNAcentral lists this ribosomal RNA (424 nucleotides) under uncultured fungus. RNAcentral describes it as "eukaryotic LSU rRNA". It matches the Rfam family "Eukaryotic large subunit ribosomal RNA", at positions 1 to 422 of the family's 3401-position model. The record is from RNAcentral. Lineage: Eukaryota; Fungi.